GGGGCUGAAGGUCGGUUCAUGUGAGGAAAGGCAGUCCUUGAGGUAUUGUGGUCCUGAGCCAUUUAAGGCUUAAUAGGUCAAAGCCAGCACUUUGAAUUGGACCCGGAAACUAACCGUCAGCCCCUGCAGUCAGGCCAAGAUUGGCAUCAUAUGCUCAAACCAUAUUGCCCCAGUGAGCAACACUUCCAGUUCUUGGAAGUGGUGUUUAACCAAACUUCUAGGGCAGGCACAUCCAACUCCCAAGGGACUGCGAUCUACUCCCAUUA
Molecule: long non-coding RNA, 266 nt
Organism: Podarcis raffonei (Aeolian wall lizard)
Lineage: Eukaryota; Metazoa; Chordata; Lepidosauria; Squamata; Lacertidae
Exons: 2
Source: RefSeq, a predicted model, not a curated record